AUACGGAGGGUGCAAGCGUUAAUCGGAAUUACUGGGCGUAAAGGGCGCGUAGGCGGUCUAUCAAGUCAGGUGUGAAAUCCCACGGCUCAACCGUGGAGGUGCAUCUGAAACUGUUAGACUUGAGUAUGGGAGAGGAAAGUGGAAUUCCCGGUGUAGAGGUGAAAUUCGUAGAUAUCGGGAGGAACACCAGUGGCGAAGGCGACUUUCUGGACCAAUACUGACGCUGAGGCGCGAAAGCGUGGGGAGCAAACAGGAUUAGAAACCCUAGUAGUCC
RNAcentral lists this ribosomal RNA (274 nucleotides) under uncultured bacterium. Its description in RNAcentral is "partial 16S ribosomal RNA". It matches the Rfam family "Bacterial small subunit ribosomal RNA", at positions 523 to 796 of the family's 1533-position model. The record is from RNAcentral.